AAACCAGCACCUCAAGUGGUCAGGAUGAUUAUUGGGCCUAAAGCAUCCGUAGCCGGCUCUGUAAGUUUUCGGUUAAAUCCAUUAGCUCAACUAAUGGGCCGCCGAAAAUACUGUAGAACUAGGGAGUGGGAGAGGUAGACGGUAUUCGGUAGGAAGGGGUAAAAUCCUUUGAUCUAUUGAGGACCACCUGUGGCGAAGGCGGUCUACCAGAACACGUUCGACGGUGAGGGAUGAAAGCUGGGGGAGCAAACCGGAUUAGAAACCCGAGUAGUCC
This 274-nucleotide ribosomal RNA is filed under the name uncultured bacterium. Its description in RNAcentral is "partial 16S ribosomal RNA". It matches the Rfam family "Archaeal small subunit ribosomal RNA", at positions 473 to 747 of the family's 1478-position model. The record is from RNAcentral.